GCGGAAGAGAAAAGCUAGAGGAAGUCCAAUUUUCGCAGCAAGUUUCUGCAGUGAGACACUUUAGUAAAAUGGACGUUUCUCCCAAUCCAACCGUUGGAUCGUCGCGGUUCUUGGACACAACGUUCCAGACUCGUAGAGAUUUUUGGUGCGUCUCUGCACGUUGUUAGAAAAGAUUUUCGGAGAAAAGUUGGAAGCGGUGGCAUAAGCUAUGGCAACCGGGAGAGUAGAGAAAUCUCAUAUCCAAGGUACUCAAGAAUAGCUGUGGAAGUGAAGUAACUUUAUGAAGUCUUUAGUUACUGUUAGUUCGAGUUGGUCUUGCUCUGAUACGUAGCACUCGGGGGAUGUUUAUGUGUUGUUUCUAAGUUGCUGUUAUUACUAAUUGUUGAAUAAUUAUAAAUUGAACGAUGUUUUAGUUGAAUAAAGUUGCUAACUGAUCUAUAAGUUGGAAGUUGUAAUUAUGUGGUUUUAAUAUUAAAAAGGUUGUUAUGUUCCUAUGAAUAAAUAUGUUGUGAGUUGUUCAGCCGAAUGCUAUGUAUCAUAUUAAAAGAAAUACAGGUUGCUUUGUUGUUUUAUGUUGAAAUGUGACAUCCUGUGAUAUGUUUGAAAAUUUUAGCACUCUGAUUUUUAAUAUAAAUGUCGGGU
This is a long non-coding RNA of Vicia villosa (hairy vetch), 642 nucleotides long. RefSeq lists it as uncharacterized. NCBI's taxonomy places the organism in Eukaryota, Viridiplantae, Streptophyta, Magnoliopsida, Fabales, Fabaceae. The transcript has 3 exons. The record is from RefSeq and is a predicted model, not a curated record.